CCCUUAGAUGUUCUGGGCUGCACGCGUGCUACACUGAUAUUGCCAAUAUGUCAUUCUUAUCCGAAAUGGAUUGGGUAAUCAAGUAAUGAAAUUUCAUGCUUGGAAUCGGUAAUUGCAAUUUUAUCGUGAACGAGGAAUUCCUAGUAAGCACUAGUCAUCAGCUAAUGUUGAUUAUGUCCCUGCCCUUUGUACACACCGCCCGUCGCUACUACUGAUUGGGUGUUCAAGUGAGAUGCUUAGACCCUUGUUGCACGGUUCAUUAUUGUGCUCCGAAAGGAAAAAGUUUCAAGCUUGAGUGUCUAGAGGAAGUAAAAGUCGUAACA
RNAcentral lists this ribosomal RNA (323 nucleotides) under uncultured eukaryote. Its description in RNAcentral is "partial 18S ribosomal RNA". It matches the Rfam family "Eukaryotic small subunit ribosomal RNA", at positions 1470 to 1796 of the family's 1831-position model. The record is from RNAcentral.